CUCUUGGGCGAUCUUUUCCGUUGCUAGCUGCGGCAGAGUUGUUGUAUAAGGAAUCUCUCGUCCCGUUAUCUGCUACCACCAAUCAUGAGCGGCUACGGAAACAUGGAUGAGUACUCCGAGGGCUCUAAGAUCAACGCAAGCAAAAACCAGCAGGAUGAGGGCAAGAUGUUCAUCGGGGGCCUGAGCUGGGACACCAGUAAGAAGGAUCUGACAGAGUACCUCUCCAGGUUCGGCGAAGUAGUAGACUGCACAAUUAAAACGGAUCCUGUGACUGGGCGAUCAAGGGGCUUUGGCUUUGUUCUCUUCAAAGAUGCAGUCAGUGUUGAUAAGGUACUGGAGACUAAAGAACACAAACUUGAUGGGAAACUCAUUGAUCCAAAGAGAGCAAAGGCAUUAAAAAGCAAAGAGCCUCCAAAGAAAGUGUUUGUUGGUGGUUUGAGCCCAGAUACUACAGAGGAACAGAUAAAGGAUUACUUUGGUGGCUUUGGAGAUAUUGAAAAUAUCGAACUUCCUAUGGACACGAAGACAAAUGAGAGAAGAGGAUUCUGUUUCAUCACAUAUACAGGCGAAGAGCCAGUAAAGAAGCUAUUGGAAAGCAGAUACCAUCAAAUUGGGUCAGGAAAGUGUGAGAUCAAAGUUGCACAGCCCAAGGAAGUUUACAGACAACAGCAGCAGCAACAGCAGAAAGGAGGAAGGGGAACAUCCGCGCCACGAGGAGGUGGAAGGGGGAGGGGCAGGGGAGGCCAAAAUUGGAACCAGGGUUACAAUAACUACUACGAUCAAGGAUAUGGAAGCUAUGGUAAUGGCAACUCCUCUUACAGUGACCAGGGUGGCUACAAUAAUUAUGGUGGAUAUGAUUACACUGGGUACAACUAUGGAACCUAUGGUGGAUAUAACCAAGGGUACACAGACUACAGUGGUCAGCAAAGCACAUAUGGAAAGGCAUCAAGAGGCGCUGGAAACCAUCAAAAUAACUACCAACCUUACUAAUGGACUAGGAUUCACAUAAGCGGGAACUUCAUUGCAGGCCGUGUGUCACCCUGACCACGUCUAUCUCUGGGGUCGCACGUUGUGGGCAGAGCGCAAGGCGUACACCAGAAACCGCUGUCCUGUGGUAGACAGGACAGAGGAUUAACUACGGGACUUUCAUCCAGGCUGGGAGUUUAAGAUAAAAACUUUUCUCUUGUGAGGACUUGUGUACAGGACACAGUGGUGUCUUGCUGUAAAUAGUAUUUGGCUCAUUUAAUUUUCUUUUAAUGGCUUUAUAGUUUUAUUUUUAUUUUUUUCCCCCCCAAUUCUGUAAACAGUGGUUUUUAUGUUCCUUGAAUUUUGUUUAUAAACUGUAACGUUACCUUGUGACUUUCACGGCAUAAAUGUCCAGUGUUUGUAAUAAAAGGAUUUGAAAAAACUG
Pseudophryne corroboree (corroboree frog) is the source of this 1411-nucleotide RNA transcript. It is a transcript of the gene named heterogeneous nuclear ribonucleoprotein D like, with no coding region annotated. The transcript is spliced from 9 exons. The record is from RefSeq and is a predicted model, not a curated record. Lineage: Eukaryota; Metazoa; Chordata; Amphibia; Anura; Myobatrachidae.